UACGUAGGGGGCAAGCGUUGUCCGGAAUUAUUGGGCGUAAAGGGCGCGUAGGCGGCCUGGUAAGUCUGGAGUGAAAGUCCUGCUUUUAAGGUGGGAAUUGCUUUGGAUACUGCUGGGCUUGAGUGCAGGAGAGGUAAGUGGAAUUCCCGGUGUAGCGGUGAAAUGCGUAGAGAUCGGGAGGAACACCAGUGGCGAAGGCGACUUACUGGACUGUAACUGACGCUGAGGAGCGAAAGUGUGGGGAGCAAACAGG
RNAcentral lists this ribosomal RNA (253 nucleotides) under uncultured bacterium. Its description in RNAcentral is "partial 16S ribosomal RNA". It matches the Rfam family "Bacterial small subunit ribosomal RNA", at positions 524 to 776 of the family's 1533-position model. The record is from RNAcentral.